Molecule: long non-coding RNA, 209 nt
Filed under: Carica papaya (papaya)
Lineage: Eukaryota; Viridiplantae; Streptophyta; Magnoliopsida; Brassicales; Caricaceae
Description: long non-coding RNA (CPAP_LNC007709)
Source: RNAcentral
AAAAGACCAAUGGAGCAUAAUUUACAAUAAACUCGUUUAUUAACAUAAAAACCUUUACUGUCCACUUACCUCGGUGAGACCUAUAAAACAACCUAUAAAAGCAAUAACAUUAUCAUCAUCUCAUCAAAAGAUAUGAACUGUAUGACAUAAUACUUACCACGCCUUUGUAUUUCAAUCAUUAAACAACACAUUUUCCUCAUUUACCAGCC